Small nuclear RNA from Hyaena hyaena (striped hyena), 108 nucleotides. The record is from RefSeq and is a predicted model, not a curated record. Lineage: Eukaryota; Metazoa; Chordata; Mammalia; Carnivora; Hyaenidae.
UGAAACAGAAAUUUGAACACAUUACUAAAACUGGAAUGAUACAGAGAAGAUCAGUAUGGCCCCCUGUGCAAGGAUGAUAUGCAGAUUGGUGAAGUGUUCCAUCAGAAA